This 468-nucleotide ribosomal RNA is filed under the name uncultured bacterium. Its description in RNAcentral is "partial 16S ribosomal RNA". It matches the Rfam family "Bacterial small subunit ribosomal RNA", at positions 28 to 507 of the family's 1533-position model. The record is from RNAcentral.
GACGAACGCUGGCGGCGUGCUUAACACAUGCAAGUCGAACGGAAAGGCCCUGCUUUUGUGGGGUUCUCGAGUGGCGAACGGGUGAGUAACACGUGAGUAACCUGCCCUUGACUUUGGGAUAACUUCAGGAAACUGGGGCUAAUACCGGAUAGGAGCUCCUGCUGCAUGGUGGGGGUUGGAAAGUUUCGGCGGUUGGGGAUGGACUCGCGGGUUAUCCGCUUGUUGGUGGGGUAGUGGCGUACCAAGGCUUUGACGGGUAGCCCGCCUGAGAGGGUGACCGGCCACAAUAGGACUGCGGGACGGCGCAGACGCCUACGGGACGCAGCAGUGGGGAAUCUUGCAGAACGGGGGGAAGUGUGAUGCAGAAAUGCCGCGUGCGGGAUGCCGGCCUUCGGGUUGUAAACCGAUUUCGAAUGUGCCGAAGCGUGCGUGACGGUAAUGGGUCAAGAAGCACCGGCUAACUACGUG